Molecule: long non-coding RNA, 674 nt
Filed under: Mus pahari (shrew mouse)
Lineage: Eukaryota; Metazoa; Chordata; Mammalia; Rodentia; Muridae
Description: lncRNA (MGP_PahariEiJ_G0003298.1)
Source: RNAcentral
AAAGGCAUGAGGCUGUGCGCAGAAACAUUUCAUGCAGCAUGUUGCUUGGCGCAAAAGAGAAAAACAAAAGAAAGAGGAAAAAACAAAACAAAAGUCCAAAAAUCCGUAAACCAAUAAAGGGUUUGCCAUCGCCUGAAAGGUUUUUUUCCUUAACCGCCAAACCACAGGGUGAGGCUUUGUAACACCAACCAAGAACUCCAACUCGGCUCAUCUUGGUCUUCCUGUCGUACUCGUGAUUUUAAUUGCUCCUUCUUAGUGCCUGUUUUGGGGUGUGGAGUGCCAUCCUGUGCGCCCAACGCAGCCGCUUGGAUGCCAUCUGAACCGAAGGUCUCUUCGCCUUGAGGGCCUUGCCCAUAUUUUUUUUUUUCCUGAAUAAGAAAAGGCGAAACAAUAGAUGUCCAGAAAUACUGCUGUAAUUCACCAGAACAAACAUUUAUCAGAAUCGGGGCCAGCCUCCUCGCCAGCGGCAGACAUAAACUAUCUAAAUAAUGAAAUGCAUUAGGUAUUUGAAGGCGUACUCAGAGAAAAAGGCAGCAUCUUUUCAAGGUGGCAAAGCUUUCCAUCCUUUGGGCAAAUGGGAUGUAUUCAAAGGCUCGGGCGCAGAUUAAUGAGAACAGCACUUUAAAGGGGACUGGCCGAUCAUCUUUAACAAAAUGUGUUACUUUUAAAUGAAA